UGUCUACUGUGGACGCAGCCUUAAGCCCUAUGUGUUGAUGAUACAACCAUUAUUAUUUUAUAAUUAUUAAUAGCUAUAUUGAUCAUUCAUAUUUCAAUCGGCAUCCUUAGAGGUUGUGUCUCAGAACUCUUUAGAUUCAUAUUUUUAUUGAAGUAAAGUGGUAAUUAAUAUCUAUAUUAAUUAUGAAGUUGUGGUUUAUAAUAACGUUUUUGUUACUCGCGAUGACGCUUGUAGCAGCCCGCCCUAAAUUCAAUCGUAAUGUUCUUUCGGGGCUCAAGAAUGCAGUACUAACAAGUUCGCGUAUGAUGCAGCUGUAUAGCAGAAAUAAACCAAAAAGGGUUAAAAUCAUGAACUGUUUUUUUUUUGUCAAAUGUAUUUUUAACUUAGGUACUUCCUAAAAGGAGGAUAUCAUAGGAGGAGGUAUUAUAUUGUAAUUGCUAAAGUCAAUAAAUAAAAUGAAAAAUAAAUAAAUGCCUAUAAUUA
Long non-coding RNA from Helicoverpa armigera (cotton bollworm), 483 nucleotides. RefSeq lists it as uncharacterized. NCBI's taxonomy places the organism in Eukaryota, Metazoa, Arthropoda, Insecta, Lepidoptera, Noctuidae. The transcript has 2 exons. The record is from RefSeq and is a predicted model, not a curated record.